RNAcentral lists this ribosomal RNA (254 nucleotides) under uncultured bacterium. RNAcentral describes it as "partial 16S ribosomal RNA". It matches the Rfam family "Bacterial small subunit ribosomal RNA", at positions 524 to 776 of the family's 1533-position model. The record is from RNAcentral.
UACAGAGGUCCCAAGCGUUGUUCGGAUUCACUGGGCGUAAAGGGUGCGUAGGCGGUCGGGUAAGUCUGAUGUGAAAUCUCACAGCUUAACUGUGAAACUGCAUUGGAUACUAUCCGGCUCGAGGAAUGGAGGGGAGACUGGAAUACUUGGUGUAGCAGUGAAAUGCGUGGAUAUCAAGUGGACACCAGUGGCGAAGGCGAGUCUCUGGACAUUUUCCUGACGCUGAGGCACGAAAGCCAGGGGGAGCAAACGGG